GCAUAAUAUUCAAUUUGAGAAGAAAAGGCUAGUGUAGAAGUAUGAUCUAAUUAGUUGGAACAUAACAUCGUUUUUAGUCCUUCUUUCUAUCCGUAAAGCUCAUAAGCUUACUGAUUACAAGGCUGAUGCAACUGACAGAGGUAAGUGUACAGUGAAAUAAAGGAAGCUAUUAAAGAAUUAGCAUUGGUGGGGGACUAGAAGGA
RNAcentral lists this unclassified non-coding RNA (203 nucleotides) under Hevea brasiliensis (rubber tree). The record is from RNAcentral. Lineage: Eukaryota; Viridiplantae; Streptophyta; Magnoliopsida; Malpighiales; Euphorbiaceae.